GGUGGCGAGCGGGCGGUCGCGUCGAUUUUUCGGCGAGGAAAGUCCGAGCACGGUAGGACAACGGUGGUGGGUAACACCCACCGGCCCGCGGGCUGCGGGUCAGGGACAGUGCCACAGAAAACAGACCGCCGAUGUGACUUCGGUCGCAGGUAAGGUUGAAAAGGUGCGGUAAGAGCGCACCGCCCGUUCCGGUGACGGACGGGGCACGGCAAACCCCACCGCGUGCAAGCGCAAGCAGUUCCACGCAUCGAGCGGCCUCGGUCGAUUCGGUGUGCCCGCGGUCCGCGGGUUGGAACGGGUGGCGUGCUGGAGGGUGUCGGCGACGACAUUCCCAGAGAAAUGACCGCCAGGCCGGCUUUUUCUCCGGAAGAACCGGCUGACGGAACUCGGCUUACAGCUCGUCUCAGUCC
This 410-nucleotide RNase P RNA is filed under the name Phycisphaera sp. TMED9. Its description in RNAcentral is "RNase P RNA component class A". It matches the Rfam family "Bacterial RNase P class A". From Rfam's summary of the family: Ribonuclease P (RNase P) is a ubiquitous endoribonuclease, found in archaea, bacteria and eukarya as well as chloroplasts and mitochondria. Its best characterised activity is the generation of mature 5'-ends of tRNAs by cleaving the 5'-leader elements of precursor-tRNAs. Cellular RNase Ps are ribonucleoproteins. Lineage: Bacteria; Pseudomonadati; Planctomycetota; Phycisphaerae; Phycisphaerales; Phycisphaeraceae. The record is from RNAcentral.